Molecule: ribosomal RNA, 524 nt
Filed under: uncultured bacterium
Lineage: Bacteria
Description: partial 16S ribosomal RNA
Rfam family: Bacterial small subunit ribosomal RNA
Source: RNAcentral
GACGAACGCUGGCGGCGUGCCUAAUACAUGCAAGUCGAACGAAGCUGUUUUAACUGGUGCUUGCACCGACUUAAACAACUGAGUGGCGAACGGGUGAGUAACACGUGGGUAACCUGCCCCAAAGCGGGGGAUAACAUUUGGAAACAGAUGCUAAUACCGCAUAACCACAGAAACCACAUGGUUUCUGUGUCAAAGAUGGUUUCGGCUAUCACUUUGGGAUGGACCCGCGGCGUAUUAGCUAGUUGGUAAGGUAAUGGCUUACCAAGGCAAUGAGACGUAGCCGAACUGAGAGGUUGAUCGGCCACAUUGGGACUGAGACACGGCCCAAACUCCUACGGGAGGCAGCAGUAGGGAAUCUUCCACAAUGGACGAAAGUCUGAUGGAGCAACGCCGCGUGAGUGAAGAAGGGUUUCGGAUCGUAAAACUCUGUUGUCAGAGAAGAACGCGUGCGAGAGUAACUGUUCGUGCAGUGACGGUAUCUGGCCAGAAAGCCACGGCUAACUACGUGCCAGCCGCCGCGGUAA